UACGUAGGGUGCGAGCGUUGUCCGGAAUUACUGGGCGUAAAGAGCUCGUAGGUGGUUUGUCGCGUUGUUUGUGAAAACCGGGGGCUUAACCCUCGGCGUGCGGGCGAUACGGGCAGACUUGAGUACUGCAGGGGAGACUGGAAUUCCUGGUGUAGCGGUGGAAUGCGCAGAUAUCGGGAGGAACACCAGUGGCGAAGGCGGCUAUCUGGGCUUUAACUGACGCUGAGGCGCGAAAGCUAGGGGAGCAAACAGG
RNAcentral lists this ribosomal RNA (253 nucleotides) under uncultured bacterium. Its description in RNAcentral is "partial 16S ribosomal RNA". It matches the Rfam family "Bacterial small subunit ribosomal RNA", at positions 524 to 776 of the family's 1533-position model. The record is from RNAcentral.